GUUUUACUUUCCAAUAUGGACUUUCCUGCAGAUUGUUUUCAUGAAUUACCUUCUCAACACAGCACCUCCACUCUGAUGGGAAAGUCCCAGGGGGAUGUUUUUCCUUCAAAAACAUUGUUGCUUUCAUCCCUGGUCAACCUUGAAUGUACUAGGGUGAUCCAGUCCUCUCCGUUGGAGCUGAUGUCUACUCUGAGUGACUAGUCCCUCUUAUCAGCCUAAUGGGUAGGCCUGGCAAUUCUUCUCUCUGGUAUCUACAAGAAUAAACACUUUAUGGCCAAAGGCAUUGUCUUCACAAUUACAGGAAACACAUUCCCCAGAUAAAGAGAGGCAAGGAAAAGCUCACAUUUUACUGAGGAUCACUGGAGGACGAAGCAGCAUUUCUCAGCAUUGUAUAGUAAAUCACACAGCUCGCAGCCUUUGAGCCAUGAAACGCAUGCUGCUGCUUGCCAUGAUUGCGCACAACCGGCCAUUGGUAAUGUAAUGUGGAAAACCUCAUUUCCAAAAUGAAAACCUGCCUUGCUCAAUAAAAUACGGCCCCGUGAGUGAGCAUUGGCAAGGGAGUAUUUAUCAGCUUUUAAUGCUCCCCUGGCAGGCCAGCACAACAGCCUGAGAAAAUAAAGGACAAAAGA
Grammomys surdaster is the source of this 629-nucleotide long non-coding RNA. RefSeq lists it as uncharacterized. The transcript has 5 exons. The record is from RefSeq and is a predicted model, not a curated record. Lineage: Eukaryota; Metazoa; Chordata; Mammalia; Rodentia; Muridae.